UGUAACAAGGUUUCCGUAGGUGAACCUGCGGAAGGAUCAUUACCGAGUGCGGGCUGCCUCCGGGCGCCCAACCUCCCACCCGUGACUACCUAACACUGUUGCUUCGGCGGGGAGCCCUCUCGGGGGCGAGCCGCCGGGGACUACUGAACUUCAUGCCUGAGAGUGAUGCAGUCUGAGUCUGAAUAUAAAAUCAGUCAAAACUUUCAACAAUGGAUCUCUUGGUUCCGGCAUCGAUGAAGAACGCAGCGAACUGCGAUAAGUAAUGUGAAUUGCAGAAUUCAGUGAAUCAUCGAGUCUUUGAACGCACAUUGCGCCCCCUGGCAUUCCGGGGGGCAUGCCUGUCCGAGCGUCAUUGCUGCCCAUCAAGCCCGGCUUGUGUGUUGGGUCGUCGUCCCCCCCGGGGGACGGGCCCGAAAGGCAGCGGCGGCACCGUGUCCGGUCCUCGAGCGUAUGGGGCUUUGUCACCCGCUCGAUUAGGGCCGGCCGGGCGCCAGCCGACGUCUCCAACCAUUUUUUUCAGGUUGACCUCGGAUCA
This 535-nucleotide unclassified non-coding RNA is filed under the name Aspergillus creber. RNAcentral's name for it is "sequence contains ITS1, 5.8S rRNA gene, ITS2". The stretch from base 199 to 352 matches the Rfam family "5.8S ribosomal RNA". Lineage: Eukaryota; Fungi; Ascomycota; Eurotiomycetes; Eurotiales; Aspergillaceae. The record is from RNAcentral.